GACGAACGCUGGCGGCGUGCUUAACACAUGCAAGUCGAACGGAAAGGCCCUGCUUUUGUGGGGUGCUCGAGUGGCGAACGGGUGAGUAACACGUGAGUAACCUGCCCUUGACUUUGGGAUAACUUCAGGAAACUGGGGCUAAUACCGGAUAGGAUCUCCUGCUGCAUGGUGGGGGUUGGAAAGUUUCGGCGGUUGGGGAUGGACUCGCGGCUUAUCAGCUUGUUGGUGGGGGAGUGGCUUACCAAGGCUGUGACGGGUAGCCGGCCUGAGAGGGUGACCGGCGACCAUGGGACUGCGAGACGGCCCAGACUCCUACGGGAGGCAGCAGGCGGGAGUAUUGCACAAUGGGCGGAAGCCGGAUGCAGCAACGCCGCGUGCGGGAUGACGGCCUUCGGGUUGUAAACCGCUUUCGCCUGUGACGCAGCGUGAGUGACGGUAACGGGUAAAGAAGCACCGGCUAACUUCGUG
Molecule: ribosomal RNA, 468 nt
Filed under: uncultured bacterium
Lineage: Bacteria
Description: partial 16S ribosomal RNA
Rfam family: Bacterial small subunit ribosomal RNA
Source: RNAcentral